CCUACGGGAGGCAGCAGUGGGGAAUCUUGCGCAAUGGGCGAAAGCCUGACGCAGCCAUGCCGCGUGAAUGAUGAAGGUCUUAGGAUUGUAAAAUUCUUUCACCGGGGACGAUAAUGACGGUACCCGGAGAAGAAGCCCCGGCUAACUUCGUGCCAGCAGCCGCGGUAAUACGAAGGGGGCUAGCGUUGCUCGGAAUUACUGGGCGUAAAGGGAGCGUAGGCGGAUAGUUCAGUCAGAGGUGAAAGCCCAGGGCUCAACCUUGGAACUGCCUUUGAUACUGGCUAUCUUGAGUUUGGGAGAGGUAUGUGGAACUCCGAGUGUAGAGGUGAAAUUCGUAGAUAUUCGGAAGAACACCAGUGGCGAAGGCGACAUACUGGCCCAAUACUGACGCUGAGGCUCGAAAGCGUGGGGAGCAAACAGGAUUAGAUACCCUGGUAGUCCACGCUGUAAACGAUGAGUGCUAGUUGUCGGCAUGCAUGCAUGUCGGUGACGCAGCUAACGCAUUAAGCACUCCGCCUGGGGAGUACGGUCGCAAGAUUAAAACUCAAAGGAAUUGACGG
Molecule: ribosomal RNA, 560 nt
Filed under: uncultured bacterium
Lineage: Bacteria
Description: bacterial SSU rRNA
Rfam family: Bacterial small subunit ribosomal RNA
Source: RNAcentral